ACCCUUCGGGGUACUCGAGCGGCGAACGGGUGAGUAACACGUGGGCAACCUGCCCCUAGCUCUGGGACAACUCCGGGAAACCGGGGCUAAUACCGGAUACGACCUCGGAAGUCAUCUUCUGCGGUGGAAAGUUUUUCGGCUAGGGAUGGGCCCGCGGCCUAUCAGCUUGUUGGUGAGGUAACGGCCCACCAAGGCGACGACGGGUAGCCGGCCUGAGAGGGCGACCGGCCACACUGGGACUGAGACACGGCCCAG
This 255-nucleotide ribosomal RNA is filed under the name uncultured bacterium. RNAcentral describes it as "partial 16S ribosomal RNA". It matches the Rfam family "Bacterial small subunit ribosomal RNA", at positions 75 to 334 of the family's 1533-position model. The record is from RNAcentral.